RNA transcript from Arachis duranensis, 1694 nucleotides. RefSeq lists it as uncharacterized. The transcript is spliced from 3 exons. Lineage: Eukaryota; Viridiplantae; Streptophyta; Magnoliopsida; Fabales; Fabaceae. The record is from RefSeq and is a predicted model, not a curated record.
UUCCCUUCCUUUCUGGUAAUUUAACACUAUUUCCAUUCUUCUCUCUUUAGCUUUAUAUCUCUAUUUCUAUUUCUGCAAUUGCUAUGGCUAAUUCUUUUACAACAUACCUAUUUCAUUUCAUUCCGCAAAAUAAGUUGCUUGCAAUUUAUGUACCACGAAUGCUUCUGAGGUAAAUAUUUCUGCUAUGGAAUUCUUCCUUGAUUCGAAUGAACAAGUUGUUACAAUCGGAAAUGGACAACAAUGACGAAGACGAAAGAAACUUCAUCAAAAUAAAGAUAAAGGACUCGCACAAUUGCAAAACUAAGAACUGAGAGUGAGAACUAGGAUCUGGGAACACCUCUCUGACUCUCACACGAUCGUCCUCGUCCCUCACCUCUGUCCAGCCAUUGCGUUGUGCCGCUGCCGUCGUUCAUUCGAACAACCACCUAAUCGCGCAGCAGCCGUCGUUCCUUCGCCAAGCCACCUCCGUCUUCGAACAGCCACCUCCAUCGCAAAGCAGCCAUCGUCCAUUCGAAGGUGCUCCACCACUGCUUGGUCACUUGGCGUCGUUGUCUCCCACACUCCCUAUUGCAUGUUCUAUUGAAACCUUGAAGGCGCCUUCGAGCUUCCAGAGUUCCAGGUAUGGAUGAAAAUCUGCAGCAAGUUAUGAAGGAUUUUGAUGAUUGAUGACGAACUUGGAUCAUUUUGAUGUUGCCACGUUAUGUUUGAUUGGUUGUUUUGUUUUUUGACUUUUGAAUUUGUAUUUGAAUGAGAUUAUAACAUUCUGGUUUAUGUAGUACUUUUAAUUUGAAUGAUAUUUAAAGUUUACAUUAGACUAUAAUUAUAUUUUCAUGUGUUUAUUUAUAUUUUAUUUAUUAUUUUAUUAUAAAACGGUUUUUCGGUUCAACCACAGUCGAACCGAUUGAACCUAUAAACCAAUGAACCAGUAGCUAGAGCGGUUUGAUGACCGGUUCGAUUUUCAGAACCUUGGUUCCAACCACACUCCAAGAGUUUUAGUUUAAAUUCAUAACCUCAGGAAUAACUAAUCGAUUUGGACAGUACUCCUUUUACGUUCUGAGGUCAAGACAGAACUUCUCUGAUCAGCCUAGCACAUCAAGACAUCUCCGAACUUCAAAACAAAAGUCUUGAUGAAGAUCUGAAUUCUGAAGAUGUUAGAGUAUAUGCCUUACGACCUAACCUAUUCAGAAUUGAUGCAGGGAUACCCAACGACACUGAAAGUCCAAAUGCACACCUAUAUGACCUAUAUCUGCAAGAUGUCCAAGAUCCUAAUGAGGAGAAUACCGAAGACCCAAUUACCUACUUACAGGACCCAAAUAUGAAUUUUAGAACUGUCAACUUGGCUUAUGAUGACACAUCAUCCUACUCAGACGGUGAUGGGACCCUUCCAAAAGACUAUUUUAAGUCGUUCGUCUAUUAAAGCAAGAGUCUCCACUAUGUAUAAUUAUUAAGCGCACUAAAAUAAAAUGACCACUGUCACUUAUCUAACUAAGUCAGCAAGAGAUAAGGCUUAUCCUUAUCUUCCAGCUGGCAUUGUAUAAUAAACUUGUUUAAAUUCUGUAAGAUAUGAUUGUUGAUCAUAGACCUCUAUAAAAAGAGGGGUUCAUCUCAAUUGUAAGAGAGAGUAUCGAACGUUGUAAUAUAUUCAUUCUUUCCUAUUUCACAAAAUGUUAUAAAUCUUUUUUCUUUCUUUGAAA